CACAACCCCCCCUUCACUCCGUCUCUCGGCCGCUGGGCGAGUGAGUGAGCGAGGGAGUGCGUAAGAAAGGCAAAGCGGCAGGCGUGUUUCAACAGAUGGCUCUCAGUGUCCCGCUUCAGCCAGUACUCACUCUCUCUGUGCACUUAGAGCUUUCCUGUUAGAGAGAGAGAGAGACAGAGAGAGAGAGAGAGAGAGAGAGCAGUUCAGUUUAAGAAAGUGAAAGGGCUUUGAGAACUUCUCCUUUUUCGUUGUUUGAAAACUUUUCGUCUACUCUCUAGUGAGCAGUAGAGAGAAAAGAUAGAGGGAGAGAGAGGAGGGUGGCGUGAGUGGGACGUUGACCCCCGCUGCUCUUACUCUCUCUUGGCCGGCUGCUCUGGGGGAUCCACUGCUAGUCUCAGGCGGGACAAUAAACCACCUGCUCCAAGUCCGGGGGCUUACACCGCCAACACUGGACCUGCAGCGCUGUGCGUGAGGGUCUCGUUUCCUGGCAGGAGUAGGACUUUAACACGAUGUAAG
Pygocentrus nattereri (red-bellied piranha) is the source of this 516-nucleotide long non-coding RNA. NCBI's taxonomy places the organism in Eukaryota, Metazoa, Chordata, Actinopteri, Characiformes, Serrasalmidae. The record is from Ensembl.